AAUUCUCAAAAACCCUUUUUAGUAGAAGGGUUUUUGGACUUGGAGGUUCAAUGCUUGCCUUUCACUUUCAAAGGCGAGCUCCUCUCAAAUGAGUUAGUGGGGUCUGCUUUGCCGAUCCUUGACGUGAUAAGAUGUUUCUACGUUUUGGAUUUGGCACUGUCCCUUUGGAUGCCUGCUCAUAACCGUCCUACGGACAAAUCGGAAUUGAAAA
Molecule: unclassified non-coding RNA, 211 nt
Filed under: uncultured Russula
Lineage: Eukaryota; Fungi; Basidiomycota; Agaricomycetes; Russulales; Russulaceae
Description: sequence contains ITS2
Source: RNAcentral